RNAcentral lists this long non-coding RNA (5379 nucleotides) under Sorghum bicolor (sorghum). RNAcentral's name for it is "long non-coding RNA (SBIC_LNC002664)". Lineage: Eukaryota; Viridiplantae; Streptophyta; Magnoliopsida; Poales; Poaceae. The record is from RNAcentral.
AGUCUCCACAACCAUGUUGGUUUGAUGUUUGUAAGCUUGAGCUAAGCUUAACUCACACAUCGUUGGGCACUAGAAGCUCCACAUCUGUUUUCAGAGGCAUUAUUAAUCUGAGGGUGUAGAUAUUGACUUGGUGGUUGAUACGGACCUGCACCCUUCCCUUGGUCGAGCGAAGAUUGUAUGUGUGUUGGGGGGCUGGGUGCGCGGCACGGCGGUGGGGCGCCGUGGUCGCGCGAGGAAGAAGAGAACGGUGGCGACGGCUAGGGCAAACUCUCGGCUCCCAAGGGAAGCCGAGUAAUAAGAUUUACUCUUGCUUAAUUCUGUCCACAGGAAUUACAACUCUUAUAUGUGAAUAAUUGCUUGAAUUAUGGAGAUAAACAAAUAAAGAUAAAUAUGGGCUGUUAGCCCCUAACUCCUGCGCCUAAACCCCUGGCCGAUGGUGGCUUUAGUCACUAAUGGGCCGGCGCCUCCUUUGAUACUGGACGCCGGUCAUAACAUGUCUCCCCGCGUCGACAAACAGCUCGUCCUUGAGCUGGACAUCGGGGUAGAGGGCUUUGAAGUCGUCGAGAGCUUCCCAUGUCGCAGCAUCAUCCGGAAGGCCGCGCCACUUGACCAACAGCUACCACUGGCCGCGGCGCAGCUGCGCGCGCACAACCUUCUCCGGGGCAGGAAGCAGGCGCCCCUCGGAGACUGGUGGCACCACCGCCGGCGUCACAGGAGGAUCACCAUGCCACUGCUUGAGCAGCCCGACGUGGAAAACAUCAUGGAGGUGUGUAGUCUCGGGCAGCUGUAGACGAUAGGCCACCGACCCAACGCGUUCCAGCACACGGAACGGACCAGCAUAGUGAGGAUGAAGCUUGCCCUUGGCCGACGUCGCGAGCGUGUGUGUGGGGCUGUGAAGAAGUCGGAGCGCACCCAAUCGCCCACAGCAAAGUCCACAACCCGGUGGUGCUCGUCGUAGCGCUCCUUGGUGUGUUGCUGUGCCUGGAGGAGGCGCUCUAGGACCUCGACUAGGAACGGGUCGCGGUCCCAGAGCAUGACGUCCACAUCCUCCGUCUCAGCCGCCCCCUCUUGGUGGGGCAAAAGGGGAGGUGGCGGGCGGCCGUAGACAAUCUCGAAUGGAGUAGCCCGAAGCACCGGUACGAUGUGUUGUAGCAGUAUUCCGCCCACGGUAGCCAAUCGACCCAUGAGCGCGGUCGGUCGCCGGUCGCAUAGCGCAAGUACAUGGCGAUCACCUUGUUGACAACCUCAGAUUGGCCGUCCGUCUGAGAGUGAAAAGCCAUGCUGAGCCGCUGUUUCACACCUGCAAGGCGAAACAAAUCCCUCCACAAGUGGCUAGUGAAAAUCGGAUCGCGGUCGCUGACAAUGGAGGUGGGAAAGCCAUGAAGCCGCACGAUCCCCUCGAAGAAAGCAUGGGCCACCGACGCGGCCGUGUAGGGGUGGCUGAGAGCGAUGAAGUGCUUGUACUGGGAGAAGCGAUCCACCACCGUCAAGAUGACCGACUUGCCAUGGACCUUGGGAAGGGCGUCGUUGAAAUCCAUGGAGAUGUCAGCCCAAACUUGGGAAGGCACAUCCAGAUGCUGUAGUAGACCGGCCAGCUGUGUCGUGGGCGUCUUAUUGCGCUGGCACACACCACACGUGCGGACGUAGUCUUGCACAAGCUUGCGGUCGCCGGGGAUGUGGAAAUCACUGCGUAGCCGCACGAGGGUCUUCUGGACGCCCUCAUGCCCGGUAGUGUGCGCCAGGGUCACCACUUGAUGGCGCAAGUCCUGCAGGUCGGGAACGUAGACUCGUUUGCCAUGAAGGAGCCCGUCCGCUAUGGUCCAGGGUCCCUCUAGCAUCCCUGCGGCCUGCUGCUGCAGGAGGCCGCAUGCCACCGGGUCCUCCCAGGUGGUUGCCCGAAUGUCGUCGUAGAGGGCGAAGGACGGCCCGGACAAGGCGAGCGCUGCAACUGCGUCCUCGUCGCGUCGGGACAGUGCAUCCGCCACCGAGUUGAGUCGGCCAAGGCGGUAUUCCACCGUGAAGUCAAACCCGAGCAGCUUGCUAACCCAUUGGUGUUGCGGAACAGUGGAAAGCCGCUGGUCGAGCAGGAACUUUAAGCUAUAGUGGUCGGUGCGGACGAGGAAAUAGUGUGUACGGCCUCCAAUGCCGGACCGCCUGCACUAGCCCGAUGAGCUCGCGCUUGUAGGCCGCGAGCUUGACGUGGCGGGUGACGAAGGGUCUGCUGAAGAACGCCAGGGGACCCGACCCCUGGUGGAGAACCACGCCAAAUCCUGCGCCUGAGGCGUCGCAGUCAAUGACAAACUCGCGAGUGAAAUCCGGCAUCUGCAAAACAGAGGCUGAUGACAAGGCCCUUUUGAGGGCGUCGAAGGCCUCCGCCGCUUCCGGCGUCCAGGCGAACGCCUUCUUGCGCAGGAGACAAGUGAGUGGUGCUGCGAUGGAGCCGAAGUCGUGGAUGAACUUGCGGUAGUAGCCCGCAAGGCCAAGAAAACCGCGUACGCCCCAAGGUGAACGCGGCGUCCGCCAUGCGGCGAUUGCAGCCACCUUGUCGCUGUCCAUAGCGACGCCGUCAGCGGAGAUGACGUGCCCGAGGUAGUUGACGGAGAGCGCCCCAAAGGAGCACUUGGACGCCUUGAGGUAGAGGCCAUGAGCCCUCAGAGCGGAGAAGACGAGGCCGACAUGCUGGAGGUGCUUGGACCAUGAUGAGCUGUAGAUCAAGAUGUCAUCGAAAAAUACCAGCACGAACCUGCGAAGAAAAGGCCAGAGGACGUCGUUCAUCGGGGCUUGGAACGUUGCUGGGGCGUUGGACAGCCCAAACGACAUCACCAAGAACUCGAAGUCGCCGUGGUGGGUGCGGAAAGCGGUCUUCUCGAUGUUCGUCGGGUGCAUGCGCACUUGGUGAUAGCCCGAGCGAAGGUCGAGCUUGGUGAAGAAACAUGCCCCGCGGAGCUCGUCGAGGAGCUCGUCAACCAUCGGGAUCGGGAACUUGUCCUUGGACGUCCUGUCGUUGAGCGCGCGGUAGUCGAUGCAGAAGCGCCACGACCCGUUGGACUUCUUGACGAGCAGCACAGGGGCGGAGAAAGGCGACGUGCUCGGCCGAAUAAUGCCUUGCUCCAACAUGGCGGCGCAUUGCCGCUCCAGCUCAUCCUUUUGAAGCUGCGGGUACCGGUAAGGCCGCACCGCUACCGGCGCGGUCCCUGGUAGGUGGAUGCGGUGGUCGUAGGUGCGCACGGGCGGGAGCCUACGAGGCUCGUCGAAGAUGGCCCCGUGCUGCUGUAGGAGUUGGUCCAGCAGUGGCCGCUGCUGGUUGGCCGUGGCCGUGGCCAGGCGCGGCUGGUGUGAAGAAGCACCCGGAGGACCCACGCACUGCCACGUGACGCGCUGGUCGCCUCGCUGGAAGGAGACGGUGAGGCCCUCGAAGUGCCACAGAAGAGGCCCCAAAGCCCCAGGAAGUCGACGCCGAUGAUGAAGUCGAAGCAACCGAGGGCGAGCCCCACACACGUGACGGGGAAGGACUCGCCACCGAUGAGGACGAGCACAUCUCGGGCGAUCCCUUCGCACGGCAAACGCUCCCCGUUUGCGACAGUGACACAGAGGUUGUUGCCGCCAUGGGAAACAAGCCCCAGGCAACGCAUGACCGUGCCCUGGAGGAAGGUGUGGGUGGAGCCAGUGUCCAACAGCGCGAGUAGGCGUUCCCCAUUGAUGGUGAUGGGCAGCAGCAUGGUGUGGUAGGUGCGGAUCCCUGCAAGAGCAUACACGAAGACAACCAGAGCAUGAGCAGCAGCGCCGUCUGGUGGCGCCAUGGGGCUCUCGACAGCGGCGUCCUCCGUCGUGGUGAACACGUCGUCAUCGAUGUAGUCAGAGGACUCUAGGUAGAAGACAUGUGGGCAGACGUGGCUGCGCACAUACUGCUCGUCGCAGUUGUAACAAAGUCCCUGGCGACGGCGCUCGAGCAUCUCCGCCGGUGUCAAGCGACGGAAGGUGCGGGCGGGUGUAGUGGUGCCUGUCGGUGUCGGCGCAGUAGGCAUGGGCGCUGUGGCUGGAGGUCCUCCCCCAGCGGGUGGGUGAGCCGAAGUAGUCGGCCGCUGGGGAGGGCGAGCGCCACGCUGUGCUGGUGCGGCGAGAGCUGAGGCCUUGCGUUCGAAGGCGCGCGCCAGGUACAUGGCUGUCUGGAGGUCGCCGGGGUCGUGCAUCUCCACGUCCACGCGGAUGUGGUCAGGCAGUCCGCCGAUGAAGAGCUCCGCCAUCUGGCGGGUGCAGAUGUCCCGGGUGUGAGCCAGGACAGCCUGAAAACGGCCUGCGAACUCCACCGUGGAGUGGAAGGGCAGCCAGCCCAGCUCCGCCAAGCGAGUACCGCGAAUGGGUGGUCCGAAGCGAAGACGGCAUAAGUCCUUGAACCGAUCCCAUGGCAGCUGGCCCUCGUCCUACUCGAGGGUAUAGUACCACGUCUGUGCAUCGCUCGUGAGGUGAUAGGACGCCAUCCAGGUGCGCUGAGAUGCCGGCGUGAGUUGGCCCCGAUAAAAUUGCUCACAGUGCGUGAGCCAGUUCAGCGGAUCGACUGAGCCGUCGUACGUCGUGAACUCGAUCUUGUGGAACUUAGGCGGACCGUUGCCCUGCGCAGAUGCAGGGGCACCCCCCGUAGCCGGGGUCGUAGUAGGGUGGAGCCGAGGGCGCCACGCCGCUGCUCGGGAUGAGGAGAGCGUCCGUGCCGCCGUAGAGGGUGCCCGACACCGACGGUGCGCCAUGAUCCGACAUGUGCAGCCGAGGGGGUGGUGAUGUGUAGACCGGCCCGGAGUAGGUCAGCACCCAUGCCGGGAUCUGGGACGUCGAUGACGGAAAAUGGAGCUGGUGGAUCGUGACGGACGACGAAGUAGGCGCGGUUGUCGUCGAAAGCCCGGCGUCGGCGGGCAUCCGGUGCCGAGUGGUGGAACGCGACCGACGGGGACGGCUGCGUCAGGAGCGGCUGUUGCGGCGGUGCGCCCAACUGCGGCGUCGAGUUGUUGUAAAGCUGUACCAUGGUGUCCAUCGUCAGCCGCAGCUCAGCCAAGCCGUGGCUGAGUUCAACGAUCGUGGCUGUCGUCUGCUCGGGCGAGAAGACGGCGCGCGGCGCCCCUGGCGCACCCUACCGCAGCAGCCGCGAAGUGGUCGGCACCAGGGCCGAUGUUGACGUGGGCCCUUGGAGCUGAGCAGAGGAGACGGGCGGCGCCCUUGUGGAUGAAGGCGGAACAGCGGUGGCUGAGGGUGGGAUCGACAUGGCUGAUACCAGGUUGAUACGGACCUGCACCCUUCCCUUGGUCGAGCGAAGAUUGUAUGUGUGUUGGGGGGCUGGGUGCGCGGCACGGCGGCGGGCGCCGUGGUCGCGCGAGGAAGAAGAGAACAGAG